This 103-nucleotide microRNA precursor is filed under the name Equus caballus (horse). RNAcentral's name for it is "mir-544 microRNA precursor family". It matches the Rfam family "mir-544 microRNA precursor family". Lineage: Eukaryota; Metazoa; Chordata; Mammalia; Perissodactyla; Equidae. The record is from Rfam by way of RNAcentral.
AACACACAGGGAUCUUGUUAAAAUGAAGAUUCUGAUUCAGUAGGUCUGGAAUGGAGCCCGAGAUUCUGCAUUUCUAACAAGCUCCCAGUACCGGUGCUGCUGA